Long non-coding RNA from Tupaia belangeri chinensis (Chinese tree shrew), 1121 nucleotides. RefSeq lists it as uncharacterized. The transcript is spliced from 3 exons. The record is from RefSeq and is a predicted model, not a curated record. NCBI's taxonomy places the organism in Eukaryota, Metazoa, Chordata, Mammalia, Scandentia, Tupaiidae.
GCGCCGGGUCCCGCGGUGAGCAGCGAAGGGCAGCGCACCGCGCUACCGUGGGGCAGCGCGUGGGUUAUCGCCCGAACACCAGGCAUCCGCCGCAGGACAACUGGGGGAGCCGUGUACCUCUCCGCCCUAGGGGCGGACCCGCGCACUCCUGCCUCCGCGCCCGGGUCCGCCUGCCGCCGCGCCCCCCAGGGGUGGAAACCCCUCUAGGGAUAUGAGAACACCUCCGCUCACCUGCACCUAAAGGGAACAUAACCCCAAUCUGUCACUUUCUGGCCACAUGAUCCUGGACACAGGACCCAAGGAAGGAAAAACAACGCGCACCUUUCAGGGUUGCUGUACCAGACAAAUGAUGGCAUUAGGUGAAUGGCUGGUGGAUUUCUUCAAAAAGGUGUUGCAAGCAUCGGUCCAGCUACCUCUCUGUUCCACCCUGGCCAGCACUGGAGAGCCACUCCCCUCUAGAGGUAACCUGGUAGGUGGUACUAGAGACCAGGAGGACAAAUCUGAGUAUGGUGGGAGUCCAUGUGCUGGCAGAUAAGCCAAAUGCCCCCUGCCCCAUGGAUGGGUAAGAGGGAGGGGAACCAGGAUCGGCUUACCCUUGUUCCAGUCAUGGCCGGGAACCUCAUCAUUGGGAUGAACCUGGUCCAGAGAGAGGCAGCCCAGCCUACCUAGGGCCCUCUGUCUGAUGAGUAAGCUUGGUGAGAGGCCUUAGACGCUUGGGAAAUGGGAGUCCAUUACAAGAUUAAAUUGAGCCAGCUCGGUGGUACAACAGUAACAUACUGUCAGGUAAAGCUGGAUCCACAUGGAAGAUCACGGUUCAGCUCCCUGAUUGAUCUGCGCACGCUGGACACAUGCACACACACGUGCGCCUGAUCCUGGCCAACUGGGAAGUCUAGGAGGGAUUGCAGCAUGAAACUCUGUUGGGUGUUCCCACGCAGCCCUCCGCCUCCGUCUCUCACUCUCAUGAAAUAAACUUUAAAAAGAAGAUUAAAUUGUGCUUUGUAUAAUAUCAGAACACAGAAACCUGACUGGUACUCAGAUCUGCUGAGUGGAGACUGCAAGCAUUUCCCAGACAUUUUAUCACCCAGUGUCUCCUCCCAGAUGUAUGAUUCGUCAAUAUGUUC